UUAUUACUUAUUUUCUGAAAAAACUGUUGCUAUUGCCUUUGAAGUGCCUGGUGGCUGGAAAAAAGAGAAAGAAGCUAUUAUUUUGACCGUUGUACAGGAGGAAAGAAGGAAUUGAAUGGAAGUAACAUUUCUUAGUACCGCAGAUGCUUAUGGGAGGAAGUGGGUCAUUCUCCGCUGGGGGACCUGGAAAGGGAAUGCACUCAAGGCUUUAUCUUCGUGUCUUGAAUGAAUACCAGCAGAUUCAAUGUUUUUCUGCAUUCAACAGUCUCUUCAACAAUACAGGGUUAUUUGGCUUAUAUGCAACCACAUUAAGGCAAAAUCUUUUCUUAAAACACAGAUGUGAUGUCUCUAUUUAAUUUUCUCUGAAUUUUUUAUUCAUUGAAUGGUUGGGUUAGUUCGUCUAGAAAAAUAAGUUCCCUUUUAUAAUUUAUUAACACAGCACAAGAUAUUUAAAAUGUACUUCUAAGUU
Molecule: non-coding RNA, 469 nt
Organism: Vigna umbellata (rice bean)
Lineage: Eukaryota; Viridiplantae; Streptophyta; Magnoliopsida; Fabales; Fabaceae
Source: RefSeq, a predicted model, not a curated record